GAUACUCUUUAGUCAUGCCGAACUGAUACUCUUUCUUGGGCUUCACUGCUGUUGGGCUUGUUUAGUACGUACUCCAUCAGCAACAUUGUCCGAAUCACGCCUCCACUAUCCCAAUAUAGUAGGGCAAGAUUGGUUGCAGGAUCGUUUCAGGGCCGGACCGGUCAUGUGGAUGGAAAACCAAGCGAUGCUCGUUUCAGCCAUCUCAAGGGGGUCACCAUGGAUGAUAAAGGGAAUGUUUAUGUUGCAGAUACUUCGAAUCUCGCCAUUAGAAAGAUUGGAGAAGCAGGUGUGACGACUAUUGCUGGAGGAAAAUCGAAUGUUGCAGGAUACAGGGAUGGGCAUAGUGAAUAUGCCAAGUUCUGAUGUCGUAUAUGUGAGGCCUACCUGUUCGUUGUUAGUGGUUGACAGAGGAAAUGCAGCUCUUCGUCAACCUUGAGUAAAGAGGAUUGUGAUUAUGAAAUCACCUCUUUUUCACCUAUAGGUGUAUAGACUGUUUCGG
Long non-coding RNA from Salvia splendens (bonfire salvia), 499 nucleotides. RefSeq lists it as uncharacterized. The record is from RefSeq and is a predicted model, not a curated record. Lineage: Eukaryota; Viridiplantae; Streptophyta; Magnoliopsida; Lamiales; Lamiaceae. The transcript has 3 exons.